CUCAAAGCCUAUGCUAAAAAUCAGCAAGUUUCUAUGUAUUUUAAAAUUCACAGAUUUUCCAUUUUUAAUACAGAUUCAUAAAAGGAAAUUUCUUGAAUUGUAAACAGCAUCAUUCAUCAAGUUUAUUGCUCCAGCAAGUCUGCUUUCAGAAUUUACCUGACUGAGUAACUUUCACAUGAUUUUAUUCUUCUGGCACAAAUUCAUUUCUUAAUAAACUUUGGCAAAGGUGAGAGUACAAGAUAUCCCACCCAGCAUACAUAUACUCUGCAAACUUAUUUAGGCUGCAAAACAGUAUGUAUAAUAUAUACAAAGCCAGUCUCUUGUUUUCUUUACGAAGUCACUCCUCCUCCCCAUUUAGUUAUAGGGGAAAAAAAUGAUAUACUGAAAAUCAUAUAUUCUAAGCACCUUAUAAAUUAACUAGCGUCCUUACAAAAACUAGAAAUCAGUUCAUAUUUCAUGCUUCCAGAGAACAUCCAAUUAAUCACACAAAUAAAAGGAUUUUUAAUGUGCCCGUCAUAGCAUUGCAACUAGUACCUGCUUGCUCCUAAGUUCCCUGAAUAACCUUCACAGAUGUCAGUUGCGUCUCAGAAUUGGCCUUAGCUUAAAUUAUAUUUUCAUAAUAAAAAAUAGUGUAAUCAGCCCAGUAUGUGCUUUGUGUGUCUUUUAUUUGCACAGGCAGCAGUAAAUACAGUAAAUAUAUAUCUACAGUGGACCUUUUAACAAUGGAGAAAAAAUAUAUUCAUUAAUAUAUAUACAGUUUCAACAUAUUUUAUUUCUCUUCUCCUUACAAAAUGAAACUCUGCCAACACUUGGGGUUUUAUCCACAUUUCACUUCUGGAGUUUCUUCAUAGUCUCAGGGACUAUGAUCAGGUUAAUGAUUUGACAUCAUGAAUCGCAGUCAUUGCAAUCCCCAAAAAUAUGACCAUUUACCAGCAUCUGAUAUGGCUUUUUCAUUCUAAAACCUAAAUUUAUAAAUUUAGGGCAAAAUUGGCUUGACCUUCCAGAAACCCAGGGGGAAAAUCCAUUCUUCUUUCUAACACUGGUCUGAGAGGUGAUGCCUCAUCGGCACUGCAGGCAGCUGGUGAUUCCCAGGACUACCGCUCCCCAGGCCAAUCUCCAACCACUAUUCUGGUGCAGUAGUUCUGAAGGGGGCUCAAGAAUCUGUUUUUAGAUCACUUCUCAGUGACACUUACGGGCAACAAGUUUGAGGGUCAGUUAUCUAAAUGCUCAUCUUAAUUAUUCCAAGUUACUGAACAGAUCUUAGAAAUGCACAUGUUCCAAUGCAAAGGUCGGAAGAAACUGCCUCACUCCCACUUUCACACACGUGGACAUGUGGCGGCAAUGCUCUAGGACAGAGGGUAGGACAGUGCCUGCUGGACAGGGUUAAGGUUUGUGCCACUGUGUGUCUUUCUUGCAUCCAUAGCUCUUGCCUGUCCCUCAAGAGCAGAAAAAUUGGAAACUACAUUUCCCAGGCUUCCAUGACAGCAGGGCUCUAGCUAGAUUUCAUCAGUGUCAAGCAGUCAUGUACAAUUUGGAGGGAUGAGAAAAAGAAGAAGCCAUAUUUCUCCAGCAGCAGCAGAUUCUGGCAGGAUGCUAAAGAUGAAGUGAGUAAGUAGUAGGAAACAAGAAACUGCUGACAGCGUCUGAUGAUACCAUCCUGCAUGUUUCCAGGCCUCAUACAGUGGAAUCUGCUUUCAGUUUACACUCUACAAGUCACUCUGCUGCUAAAGAAAAGAAAAGGAAGAAAGAAAUACCAGAGACUGAGUAAUUUACUUUUUUAAAAAAGAGGUUUAAUUAGCUCACGGCUCUGCAAACAAUACAGAAAACAUGAUGCUGGAAUCUGCUUGGCUUCUGGGGAAGGGUAGGUAGGGUGGUGGGAUGGUAGUGUGCUAGGAGAAGCCUUAGUGAAGGCUAAUAGGAAUGGUCUUUGCUUUUCCCAAAUGACUGAUCCAGGGGUUUUGCCAUUCUCAGGUGGCGUCAUGUUAAGGGACAAAAAUCAAAUAUUAUUUUCUUCCACUGUCAUCUUCCUCUUGGGGCAUUAUUUUUCCUGGCCUCACUUUAAAUCACUUGUUCAUUAGAUUGAGCCAUUUAGAGAUGUUUUAAAAAUUUUUAGCCAUUUUAUAUCAAAACAUGCCAAAAUAUCAAUACAGGGCAUGUCUGGAUCUAGCAUUUGGUAACACAUCAUAUAUUUUUAACAUUUUUAUUACUUAGUAAGAGGUAAAGAUUUGGUUUUGCUCAUUAGUCAUCUUUUAAAAAAUGUUCCAUAUAGUUAUAUUGAUUUUUUUUAUGAGAAAUAACUCUUUCAACGUUCCUUAAUGGGGAAUAUUUUAGGAAAUUCCAUGCCAUAGCAUCAUAUAAAUUGUUUGUAAAAUUGCACCAUUUCAAGGUUUGCUCUAAAAGGAAGAAAAACGCAGUAGUAAAGGCUUUGAUAAAGAUUAAAUAACUGAAUUCAUUAAAAUCAGCUUUUUACCUCAUUAUGAAGUUUGCCUUUUUCCAAAAUACGGUGAGAUCUAUUAUAUACCUAAUAAAUGUUCAGAGCUGAGCUAAAGGCCCUGAAGUUAACGGUUCAGAAAAGCCUGCAAAGAUCCUUAAUAUGUAUCUCCCUUCCAUCUACCUUCUUCUAAUCAUUCACUGCUCAAAAACUAUUUCAUUAAUAAUUACUAUGAGCCAGGCCUAAGAGUUAUAAGUACAUCUUCCAAAAACAUUUGGAUGGUGAUUCUCAAAAUCAUAUAUCUGAGCUCUAUCUCUGCCUUAAUUUCUAUCAAGAAAACAAAAACAAACAAACAAACAAAAAGCAGGCUGAAAAGAGAAGGCCUGAUUUAGCCAUAUUUAUUCACACAUUCUUUCACAGCUAUGUUGUUGUUGUUGUUUGGUUUGGUUUUUUUUGAGACAGGAUCUCACUCUGUCACCAAAACUGGAGUGCAGUGACAGAAACAUAUAGCUCAUUAUAACCCCGAACUCCUGGGUUCAAGCAAUCCUCCCACUCCAGUCCUAGUACCUGAGACUACAGGCAAGUGCCACUACGUCCAAAUAGUUUAUUUUAUUUUUUGUAGAGAUGGGGGUCUCACUAUGUUGCCCAGGCUGGUCUCAAACUCCUGGCCUCAAGAGAUCCUCCUGCCUCAGCCUUCCAAAGAUCUGGGAUUACAGGUGUGAGCCACUGCACCCGGCUCACAAUCAUGAUUUUGAUUGACUUCUUAUAUUCCAUAUUCUUUUUUUUUUUUUUUUUUGAGACGGAGUCUCGCUCUGUCGCCCAGGCUGGAGUGCAGUGGCGCGAUAUUGACUCACUGCAAGCUCUGCCUCCUGGGUUCACCCCAUUCUCCUGCCUCAGCCUCCCAAGUAGCUGGGACUACAGGCGCCCACCACCACGCUAACUUUUUGUAUUUUUAGCAGAGACGGUGUUUCACCAUGUUAGCCACGAUGGUCUUGAUCGCCUGACCUCAUGAUCUGCCCGCCUCGGCCUCCCAAAGUGCUGGUAUUACAGGCAUGAGCCACCAUGCCCGGCCAUAUUCCAUAUUCUUAAAUGCUGGUAACCUUGUUAAGUAUAAUGUAUUUUUCUCCUUCAAAUAUUGGUUUAUAUUUUGAGUGUUGCAUGCAUAGUGUUUGCUUUUAUCUUAAGCAAUUUUUCUUUUGCCGAAGAAGUAGAUCAGCUCCACUAUGGUAGAAAAUAGAUAAAUAGCUAGAUAGUUGAUCAUUAGAGAUAGAGAUAGAAAAAUAUAACAUGUUUUUAUUUAUGAGAAGCUCCAGUCUAAUAAUGUAUGAAAUCGAAACACAUGAAUUCCAACAUAAGUAACAUAGACUCCCAUUAGUUCUAAAUAAAUUGGUCUUCUGAAAGUAUUAAAGUUUCCAUAUUACUUAACUCUUCCAAUAAUAAUAUGUUAAUCAAAUAAAUUAAAUUAGCAAUAUUUUGGUAACUGAUUUCCAUAAACCAUAAAAACACUUCUGGGUUUUAAAAAAAACAAACAAAAACUACAACAACAAAAAAACCUCAUAGGGAGAAGCAAGCAUCUCCUUUAUAUUUUUAGUUGUGCUAAACAUCCUAGAACAGUGACAAUGUCUCUGCCUUUGCCCAAUAUGGAUUUACUAACAGGCAAAAAUCCUGUAUGGAUUUACUCUGAAGACUAUAAGACUCUGGGUCCCAUGCAAGUCUGCUCUUCCAAGUCUGGUUCAAAUCGUCUGCUCUUACCAUAUUCUGCUUUUUUUUUUUUUUUUUUUUUUUAGUGUAUGUGUAAAUGCCAUUUAUUUAUUUAUUUGUUUGUUUGUUUAUUGGAAAGCAUUUUACUCUGUUGCCCAGGUUAGAGUUCAGUGGCACGAAGAUUACUCACUGCAGCCUCAACCUCUUGGGGUCAAGCCAUCCUUCCUGUGCAGUCUCCCAAGUAAUUGGGACCACAGGCACGCGCCACCACGCCUGGCUAAUUUUUGUAUUUUUUGUAGAGAUGGGGGUCUCAUCAUGUUGCCCAGGCUGGUCUCAAACUCCUGGGCUCAAGCAAUCUUCCCACUUUGGCCUCCCAAAGUGCUGAGAUUACAGAUAUGAGCCACUACAAUAGGACUAUUCUGUUCUUUUCAUAGAUAUUUUGGGAUUAAUGUAACCUUCAGUUUUUAUCAUUUGUCACUGACUGUAGGUCAUUUACAUUUAAAAUGUGUCUACAUUGCCUCUAACAGGCCCUGACUACCACAUUUUUGAUGCUGAAUUGUAGAAAAUGGCUUAAACAAUAACUCAGUAUGUCUGAUCUUAACAUAAUCAGACGAGAUCGGGCGCGUUCAGGGUGGUAUGGCCGUAGACCAUAACCAGAACUUUGUUGGAUCACAGGUGGUUAUAUUUGCCUGCAGCUCAAUUGGUCUGAAUACAAUGUAAUAUUGUAUAUUCAUAAGAAUGCAAGUAGUGGUAACUGCAUUUUCAGUGAAGUUUAAUAAAUGUUUUAUAGUUUACAUAGUACAUAAUACAUGUUAUUUGCUGCAAGUAAAUAGCUAAUAAGGUUUUAUCUAACAGGUGUUUUAGAAAAAGAUAACCCAAAACAUAAUUCCUCUCUCAUAAUAAAAGG
This 5039-nucleotide long non-coding RNA is filed under the name Homo sapiens (human). RNAcentral describes it as "HSALNT0093228". Lineage: Eukaryota; Metazoa; Chordata; Mammalia; Primates; Hominidae. The record is from RNAcentral.